This 389-nucleotide unclassified non-coding RNA is filed under the name fungal sp. RNAcentral describes it as "partial internal transcribed spacer region". The stretch from base 1 to 46 matches the Rfam family "Eukaryotic small subunit ribosomal RNA", at positions 1786 to 1831 of the family's 1831-position model. The record is from RNAcentral. Lineage: Eukaryota; Fungi.
AAGUCGUAACAAGGUUUCCGUAGGUGAACCUGCGGAAGGAUCAUUAACACGUAUCCACGUAUCAACCAACCGCGAACUCGUUUUCAAGUCUCCCUUCGGGGCACAUGAAUUGGACCUUGACAGAGUAAAUGAGUAGGGUCUCACGACCAGCUCUGUUUAGCCACUGAGGUGAUUCGUCACUUCGACAAUUGUAGUGCUCUGGAGGCAAUCUUCUGCUACCUCCUUCUCUACUCAUGAUUAAGGUAGUGGAUAAUUAUUAACCUAUUUCACCCCCUUUUUGCUAGUUGACUUUAUUAUGUUGUGAUCAAUAAGAUUAAUUUCUUAGUGGUCUCACACGUUUAAUUAUUUAAACGAUAGAACAACUCUUAGCAAUGGAUAUCUUGGUUCUC